Molecule: ribosomal RNA, 445 nt
Filed under: uncultured Rhodospirillaceae bacterium
Lineage: Bacteria; Pseudomonadati; Pseudomonadota; Alphaproteobacteria; Rhodospirillales; Rhodospirillaceae
Description: bacterial SSU rRNA
Rfam family: Bacterial small subunit ribosomal RNA
Source: RNAcentral
UUCCUACGGGUGGCAGCAGUGGGGAAUAUUGGACAAUGGGGGCAACCCUGAUCCAGCCAUGCCGCGUGAGUGAUGAAGGCCUUCGGGUUGUAAAGCUCUUUUGGCGGGGACGAUGAUGACGGUACCCGCAGAAUAAGCCCCGGCUAACUUCGUGCCAGCAGCCGCGGUAAGACGAAGGGGGCAAGCGUUGUUCGGAAUUACUGGGCGUAAAGGGCGCGUAGGCGGCUUAUCAAGUCAGGCGUGAAAUUCCCGGGCUCAACCUGGGGGCUGCGCUUGAUACUGAUGAGCUUGAAUGCGGGAGAGGAUAGUGGAAUUCCCAGUGUAGAGGUGAAAUUCGUAGAUAUUGGGAAGAACACCGGUGGCGAAGGCGGCUAUCUGGCCCGUAAUUGACGCUGAGGCGCGAAAGCGUGGGGAGCAAACAGGAUUAGAUACCCCAGUAGUCUCA